UAUUGCAUACUUGAGAAAAAA
Molecule: non-coding RNA, 21 nt
Filed under: Caenorhabditis elegans
Lineage: Eukaryota; Metazoa; Nematoda; Chromadorea; Rhabditida; Rhabditidae
Source: RNAcentral